This 5115-nucleotide long non-coding RNA is filed under the name Glycine max (soybean). Its description in RNAcentral is "long non-coding RNA (GMAX_LNC004074)". The record is from RNAcentral. Lineage: Eukaryota; Viridiplantae; Streptophyta; Magnoliopsida; Fabales; Fabaceae.
AGAAGAAGAACAACAAAAUGCAAACUCAGAGGUGGGAAUCACAAAAGAGGGGGUGCAUAACGAAGUAAAGCCCAAACGAAAGGUGAAGAGGCCCACUUACCUUCACGACUUCGUUUGAAGAAAACUGCCAAAACAGAAGCUUCUGCAAAUCCUUCCCAGAUCGCCUUGCUUGGAAUUGUGAUCCUGCUGAGCAAUUCUUAUCAAUAAAACGGUUAUUGUAAUAUUCCUAGGAUUAUUCCAUAUUAGGAAUUCUAUAAAAACCAUGUAAUAACAAGCAAAGGCAAUAAGAAAAUUACAAGCUUCUUCCUUCUUCUUUCGUGCUCUGCUCCUUCCUCAUUUCUGGAGGUGCUAGACCUCGAAUUCUAGCUCUUGAUACUUUGCACCUAACAUUUUUGGUGCUCUUGUUGUCCUUUUCACCAUGCCAGACUCUCAUUCUCACGAUACUUUCCCACGUUCCCUUGAGGACAUUCUCCUCCGCCUGGGUGACACCAUGAACACUGUGACCCUCAAACUUGAUGAAAUACUCCACCACCUAUCCCCAAGCUCUUCUUCCCCAAACCCUCAGCCAACCCCAAUCCAACCCCAACCUAACCCUGCACCUGCAACAUUACACAAAAUGAAAUUAGAGGUUCCGAGAUUCGAUGGAACUGAACCUCUCGGGUGGAUAUUCAAAAUUAAUCAAUACUUUGAAUAUCACGGCACCCCGGAACGCGAUCGUCUCACAAUCGCCUUGUUUUAUAUGGAGGGACGAGCACUUGCGUGGUUCCAAUGGAUGACCAACAAUGCUCAGUUCACCUCUUGGCCGGGAUUUUUGAAGGCAUUGUAGACCCAUUUUGCCCCGUCACAAUACGAGGACCCUACGGGUGCGCUUUUCAAGUUAACUCAGAAGGGUUCAGUAGGCCAAUACCUGUCGGAAUUUGAGGAUUUAGCGAAUCGUAUUAUCGGGCUCCCUCCUCCCUUCAUUCUCAGCUGCUUUAUCUCGGGGCUGUCGCCGGAGAUACGACGUGAAGUCCAGGCCUUACAACCCCUCACUUUAGUGCAAGCAGCGGGGCUAGCACGUUUGCAGGAAGAGAAAUUAGCCGAUAUACGACCACCGCCUCGACCGCGACCUCCACCCCCACCACAACUUUCCCCUCACACGAACCCUAACCUAAACACCUCUCGUUCACCCUCACUACCACCAUUAUUACUUGCACCACCGCGUCAGCCUCCCCCUGUGAUGAAACGCUUGUCAUCGGAGGAGAUAACCUCACGCCGUGAGUGUGGGUUAUGCUUCAACUGUGACGAGCGUUACCACCGGGGUCACCGCUGCGCCUCUCGUGUGUUCUUACUCAUCACUGAAGAAAAGGACCCUCCUUCAGUUAAUAUAGACCCUAAUAACCCGCAACCCAAUACCAUACCUGACCCACCUGAAGUAACUGACCCAUACCCGGCCCACAUAAGCCUACACUCAUUAUCAGGCCAUCAUGCCCCGGAAACGCUGCGUUUUGAAGGAGUUAUUCAUGCUCAUCCUCUGGUGCUCCUCGUUGACGGAGGAAGCACCCAUAACUUUGUCCAGCAGCAACUGGUCUCUCGAUUGGGGCUACCUUGCCGUUCCACACCACCGCUGCGAGUCAUGGUGGGAAAUGGUCAUCACCUGGAAUGCACUACAAUUUGUGAAGUUGUUCCUAUUUCGAUUCUGAACAUCAAAUUCUUGGUGGACCUUUAUGUUCUACCUAUUGCCGGAGCCAACAUCGUGUUGGGUGUCCAAUGGCUUAAAACAUUAGGCCCUAUCCUCACGGAUUAUAAUUCCUUAAGCAUGCAAUUUUUCUAUCAGCACUGCUUGGUCCAAUUAAAAGGGGAAAGUGAAGCUCAAUUGGGCCUUUUGAACCAUCAUCAGCUUCGUCGUCUCCACCAGACACAUGAACCCGUCACUUACUUUCAUAUAGCCAUCCUUACUGAAAACACUUCACCCACAAGCUCACCACCAUUACCCCAACCCAUCCAACACUUACUAGACCAGUUUUCAGCCUUGUUCCAAGAGCCUCAGGGACUUCCACCAGCCUGAGAAACUGAUCAUCACAUACACCUGCUACCCCAAUCCGAACCCGUGAAUGUGCGCCCCUACCGGUAUCCCCAUUACUAGAAAAACGAGAUUGAACACCAAGUCAACCUCAUGCUUCAGAAGGGACUGAUCCAACCUAGUACAAGCCCCUUCUCCUCUCCCGUCCUUCUUGUAAGGAAACAUGAUGGAAGCUGGAGGUUCUGUGUGGACUACAGGGCCCUCAACGCGGUCACGGUCCGAGACCGGUUUCCUAUUCCCACAAUAGAUGAGCUCUUAGACGAGCUCGGAGGUGCUCAAUAUUUCUCCAAACUUGACCUGUUGCAAGGUUAUCACCAGAUAAGGAUGCAUGGCCCCGAUAUUCCCAAAACGGCAUUUAGAACUCACCACGGCCAUUACGAAUUCAAAGUAAUGCCGUUUGGUCUCUACAACGCACCAUCUUCGUUUUAGGCGACGAUGAACAACAUUUUCCGGCAACACCUCCGUCACUUUAUUAUAGUGUUCUUUGACGAUAUACUCAUUUAUAGUAAUUCCUUUGAGACCCAUAUACAACACUUGACAACAGCAUUCCAGGUCCUCCUCGAUAAUCAAUUUGUUUUGAAAUUAUCAAAAUGCUUUUGCGCGCAGUUGCAGGUUGAAUAUUUAGGCCAUAUGGUCUCGAAGAAGGGAGUAGAACCGGUAGCCUCGAAGGUAGAGGCCAUCCUUCAAUGGCCCAUACCUCAAUCUUCUAGGGUUGUGCGUGGCUUCCUGGGACUUGCCGGAUUCUAUCGGCGUUUCAUAAAGGGAUAUGCCACCAUUGCUUCUCCCCUGGUAAAGCUCACCACAAAAGAACCUUUUUAGUGGACACCCCAAGCACAAUCAGCUUUUGAACACCUUAAGGCAGCUCUGUCCUCAGCUCCGGUACUCACCUUACCAAAUUUUCAGCUCCCAUUCACGGUGGAGACGGACGCCUCCGGCGUCGGAAUGGGUGCAGUUCUUUCUCAAUGUGGCCACCCUAUUGCGUAUUUCAACAAACCUUUCAGCCCUAAGCUUCUCCGCGCCUCCACAUACAUUCAAGAGCUGUUCGCAAUCACUGCCGCAAUUAAAAAAUGGCGCCAAUACCUUCUCGGUCAACGCUUCACGAUUUUGACUGGCCAUCGCAGCCUCAAGGAACUCCUCACCCAGGUUAUACAGACGCCGGAACAACACAUGUACUUAGCUCGCCUCAUGAGCUACGAUUACACAAUUCAAUAUCGGGCCGGAAACCGUAACCAAGCUGUAGAUGCAUUAUCACGAUUACCAUAACAGGGCUCUUCCCUUCUGAUGAUUCUCUUUGUUCCUUCAUUAACAUUCCUCGAGGAGCUUCGCCGACAACUCCAAGCUCACCCAGAAUACGUACGCUGCUGGCAGGAAAUUGAGCAGAAUCCAUCCAAUUUUCCCACCUUCACGAUUUCACAAGAGUUGAUUCUGCAUAAGGGUCACAUUUGGUUACCUCGUGAAUUACCCAUCACCUCCACAUUACUUUUGGAGUAUCACACUACACCCACAGGGGGCCACGCCGGAAUCGCAAAAACAUUAGCAAGGAUAUCGGAAAAUUUUAGCUGGACCGGCAUCCGUGAAGAUGUCAAACAAUUUGUCACCAAUUGCUUGGAUUGCCAGAUAACCAAGUAUGAAACCCAGAAGGUAGCAGGUUUGUUGUGUCCUCUUCCGGUACCUUGCCGGCCAUGGGAGGACCUCUCCCUUGACUUUAUCGUGGGAUUACCACCGUACCAAGGCCACACCACCAUCCUCGUUGUGGUGGACCGCUUCUCGAAGGGGAUACAUUUAGGCACGCUUCCGGCAGCUCACACCGCAUACAUGGUGGCAACCUUAUUCAUCAACGUGGUGGUUAAGAUUCAUAGCGUUCCUCGGAGUCUAGUCUCCGACCGAGAUCCUCUUUUCAUAAGUCACUUUUGGCAGGAAUUAUUCUGAGCUAGCGAUACCCACCUGAGGAUGAGUUCUGCUUACCAUCCUCAGAGUGAUGGUCAAACAGAAGUCAUCAAUAGGGUUGUGGAACAAUACCUGUGUGCCUUCGUGCACCGACGACCUCAGAGAUGGGGUAAGCUUCUUCCAUGGAUAGAGUGGUCCCACAAUACUUCGUGGAAUGCAGGGACAGGGUCAACCCCCUAUGAGGUAACGUUUGGCCGGAAGCCAUUCAAUUUCCCGGAGUACAUCUCCGGCACCUCAAACAUUGAAGCUGUUGAGGAUUUGCUAACUGAUAGAGACGCUACUUUUCAAACCAUUCGUAAGAAAUUGCUAAAGGCACAAGACCAGAUGAAGAAGCAAGCUGAUCACAAGCGUCGGGAGGUGAAUUAUCAGGUGUGCAAUUUGGUUCUUCUCCGGUUACGACCCUACCGGCAAUCUUCGACCAAGGGAAAUUCUUCAGUUUCCGCCAAGCUUGCAAAACGUUUCUACGGUCCAUUCCAAGUUAUUGAAAGAAUUGGCCCUGUUGCCUAUAAGCUCAAGUUACCUGACGAGGCAAAAAUACAUCCAGUAUUCCAUUGUUCUAAGCUCAAACCCUUUCGAGGGACCCCAACACCACCAUCAACAGAGACCUUCCCAUCCACUUUCAUCAAUGAUCAACCCCUGAUUUCUCCCUUGGCCAUCUUAGACCACCGAAGAACAUCACCAGAGGCUCCUUGGGAAGUCUUAGUUCAAUGGAGAGGUCUCUCCCCCGACGAGACCUCAUGGGAAAAUUGGACCAAGCUACAGGAAGAGUAUCACCUUGAGGGCAAGGUGAUUUUACAAGGACCCAGGGAUGAUACGAACAAGACAAUAUCAACAGAAGAAGAACAACAAAAUGCAAACUCAGAGGUGGGAAUCACAAAAGAGGGGGUGCAUAACGAAGUAAAGCCCAAACGAAAGGUGAAGAGGCCCACUUACCUUCACGACUUCGUUUGAAGAAAACUGCCAAAACAGAAGCUUCUGCAAAUCCUUCCCAGAUCGCCUUGCUUGGAAUUGUGAUCCUGCUGAGCAAUUCUUAUCAAUAAAACGGUUAUUGUAAUAUUCCUAGGAUUAUUACAUAUUAGGAAUUCUAUAAAAACCAUGUAAUAACA